GUGCUCACUUUGGCAGCACAUAUACUAAAAUUGGAACGAUACAGAGAAGAUUAGCAUGGCCCCUGCACAAGGAUGACAUGCAAAUUUGUGAAGUGUUCCAUAUGUUU
Molecule: small nuclear RNA, 107 nt
Organism: Otolemur garnettii (small-eared galago)
Lineage: Eukaryota; Metazoa; Chordata; Mammalia; Primates; Galagidae
Source: Ensembl